AUGAUAUGGUCGCCGGCCGGCCGUUGCAGGUUUCAGGACUGGGGAUUGGAGAAGGGGUGGGGUGACACUACUGAGACAUGCAGAGAAACACUCAACUUCCUCUCGGAAGUGCUCCAGGCGCCGGAUCCUAUCAACAUGGAGAAGUUCUUCAGCAGGGUGCCGUCGGUGUUCAACAUCGUCAUCUUCUCCAUCCACGGUUACUUUGGUCAAGAGAAGGUGCUUGGGUUGCCCGAUACCGGCGGUCAGGUGGUUUACAUCCUGGACCAAGUUAGAGCUCUUGAAGAGAAACUUCUGCAAAGAAUCAGGAAGCAGGGCCUGAAUGUUACCCCAAAGAUUCUUGUGUUAACAAGACUCAUACCGGACGCAAAGGGCACCAAGUGCAACGUUGGGCUUGAACCGGUCGAGCACACUAAGCAUUCAAGCAUCCUCCGUGUGCCAUUCAAGACCAAUGAUGGGAAAGAUCUUCGCCAGUGGGUCUCCCGGUUUGACAUUUACCCUUACCUGGAGAGAUAUGCCCAGGAUUCUUCUGUCAAGAUUCUUGACAUUCUGGAGGGGAAGCCAGACAUGGUCAUCGGAAAUUAUACCGAUGGCAAUUUAGUAGCAUCCCUCUUGUCGAGCAAACUCGGGGUCACCCAGGGAACAAUUGCUCAUGCUCUUGAGAAGACAAAGUACGAGGACUUAGAUGUCAAGUGGAGAGAAAUGGACCACAAGUAUCACUUCUCCUGCCAACUUACUGCUGACAUGAUCGCCAUGAACACUAGCGACUUCAUCAUCGCUAGCACCUACCAGGAAAUAGCCAGAAGCAAAGACAAACCUGGCCAGUAUGAGAGCCACUACGCCUUCACAAUGCCAGGGCUGUCUCGCUACGCCACAGGCGUCAACGUCUUCGAUCCCAAGUUCAACAUCGCCGCCCCUGGUGCUGAUCAAUCCGUUUACUUUCCAUUCACACAAAAACAGGCUGGGCUGACCGACUUGCACCCUCAGAUCGAGGAGCUACUCUACAGCAAGGAGGACAAUAAUGAACACUUAGGGUACCUAGGGGACAGGAGCAAGCCAAUCAUCUUCUCCAUGGCAAGGCUCGACAAGGUGAAGAACAUAACCGGGCUGGUCGAAUGGUACGGUGAGAACAAGAAGCUCAGGGACCUUGUCAACCUGGUCAUCGUUGGGGGACUCCUGGAACCAUCACAGUCAAACGACAGAGAAGAGACCGAGGAGAUCAACAAGAUGGACAGCUUGAUGGACAUGUACCAGCUCAAGGGACAGAUCUGCUGGAUCAAAGCACAGACCGAGCGCGUGUGCAACGGUGAGCUGUACCGUUGCAUUGCAGAUACCAGGGGCGCCUUCGUUCAGCCUGCACUCUACGAGGCAUUUGGACUAACGGUCAUCAAGGCGAUGAACUGCGGGCUGCCAACAUUCGCGACAAAUCAAGGAGGACCAGCAGAAAUCAUCGUCAACGAGGUUUCGGGUUUCCACAUCAACCCGCUCAACGGCAAGGAGGCAAGCGACAAGAUCGCAGCCUUCUUUCAGAAAUGCAAGGAGGACCCCACCUACUGGAACAAAAUGUCCACUGCCGGACUCCAGCGCAUCUAUGAGUGUUACACGUGGCAGAUUUACGCGACUAAAGUUCUGAACAUGGGGUCGAUGUACGGCUUCUGGAGGACUCUGAACAAGGAAGAGAGGUAG
RNAcentral lists this ribosomal RNA (1683 nucleotides) under Triticum aestivum (bread wheat). RNAcentral's name for it is "partial small subunit ribosomal RNA". Lineage: Eukaryota; Viridiplantae; Streptophyta; Magnoliopsida; Poales; Poaceae. The record is from RNAcentral.